Long non-coding RNA from Mauremys reevesii (Reeves's turtle), 684 nucleotides. RefSeq lists it as uncharacterized. Lineage: Eukaryota; Metazoa; Chordata; Testudines; Geoemydidae. The record is from RefSeq and is a predicted model, not a curated record. The transcript has 3 exons.
GGAGGAAGAAAGGAAGGAUGCCUAAAUGGAGGUGUAGGAAAAGGCUCAGGGAAAUGGCAGCAAUGUUUAAGACUUUGGCUGCUGAUUAGAAGGUCCUUGAGCUGCAACCCAGAGGGUGGGCCUGGUUCCCCUCCCAGCCACUGAGAAACUGGUAGUCAGGGCAGUGAGGGAGAAGACUGACACUUUUGGAUGAAGAUACUUUGAUAACCCCUGGAAGGAGAAAACGCACAGUGAGCUGGCUGGAGGGCCAAGCCACAAAGAGAGAUCACUCUGAGUCAGAGAGAGAGAGGUGUAUGAACGCGCAACAAAAGAGCGUGUUGGACUGAGGAGGAGCUAAUCCCCUGAAUAGCCAGGAGGAGACGCCAUAGCGGUGUGAUGGACUCAGGAGGAAGGCUCGAAACCAAAAUGGUGCUAGACAACCCCAGAAGAAAGUCAAUAUCCUGGCUGCAUCUACCAAGCAUUACUUCCCAGUUCAAGUCUAACUGUUCUUGCUGGGUAAGUCCAGUGAAGGUUCGAUUCUGGAUCCAGAUGAGUGCCUGAGUCUUUGUCAGCUGUCUGCAUGUAAAUGAGGAUGGGAGAAGGAAAGCUAAACAGCAAUUUUGGGGAGAAGAGCAGUGCACUUGCAUGCAGAAGACAACAGGAAUGAGAAGGAGCAGAAGUAGCAAUGUACUUUUAAAAUGUAUC